RNAcentral lists this long non-coding RNA (311 nucleotides) under Medicago truncatula (barrel medic). RNAcentral's name for it is "long non-coding RNA (MTRU_LNC002789)". Lineage: Eukaryota; Viridiplantae; Streptophyta; Magnoliopsida; Fabales; Fabaceae. The record is from RNAcentral.
AAAUUGGCAAUGUCGCAACUACAAUCUCUACCUCAAUUAUGUUUGAUUCCACUACUUCAGAUUUCCAUGUUAACAUAUCCAUACAUUAUAAUUGCACAGUCCUCAUGGAUACUGCAAAAAAAGACGAAGAGUGCUAAAAGCGAUUCGAAAGGCAUCAAUGCAGCCAUACAAACAAAAGUGUGUAUCAAGGAAGAUUGAAAGCCUUAGUGCCUGAUUGGAUAUGCGUUAGUGUUCACGAAACGUAAGUUUGCGGGAUAACCGAGGCAAAGUAACCGUGAUUUUAAGAAGCUAGGAAAGCAAGCUUUUGCAGU